GACGUGGGGGGCCAGCGUUGCUCGGAAUUACUGGGUGUAAAGGGUUCGUAGGCGGUGUGGCAAGUCGGGAGUGAAAUCUCUGGGCUUAACUCAGAGACUGCUUCCGAAACUGCUGUGCUUGAGUGUGGGAGAGGCGCGUGGAAUUGCAGGUGUAGCGGUGAAAUGUGUAGAUAUCAGGAGGAACACCUGUGGCGAAAGCGGCUCACUGGACCAUAACUGACGCUGAUGCACGAAAGCUAGGGGAGCAAACAGG
This 253-nucleotide ribosomal RNA is filed under the name uncultured prokaryote. RNAcentral's name for it is "partial 16S ribosomal RNA". It matches the Rfam family "Bacterial small subunit ribosomal RNA", at positions 524 to 776 of the family's 1533-position model. The record is from RNAcentral.